AUACGUAGGGGGCGAGCGUUGUCCGGAAUGAUUGGGCGUAAAGGGCGCGUAGGCGGCCCGGUAAGUCUGGAGUGAAAGUCCUGUUUUUAAGAUGGGAAUUGCUUUGGAUACUGUCGGGCUUGAGUGCAGGAGAGGUAAGUGGAAUUCCCAGUGUAGCGGUGAAAUGCGUAGAGAUUGGGAGGAACACCAGUGGCGAAGGCGGGUAACUGGACUGCAACUGACGCUGAGGCGCGAAAGUGUGGGGAGCAAACAGGAUUAGAUACCCUGGUAGUCCACGCUGUAAACGAUGAAUGCUAGGUGUAAGAGGUAUCGACCCCUUUUGUGCCGGAGUUAACACAAUAAGCAUUCCGCCUGGGGAGUACGGCCGCAAGGUUGAAACUCAAAUGAAUUGACGGGG
RNAcentral lists this ribosomal RNA (397 nucleotides) under uncultured bacterium. RNAcentral describes it as "partial 16S ribosomal RNA". It matches the Rfam family "Bacterial small subunit ribosomal RNA", at positions 523 to 918 of the family's 1533-position model. The record is from RNAcentral.